CGUUCAGCAGCACAUGUCCCAAAAAUUGGAAUAUGGAAAUUAGCGUGACCCCUGUGCAAGAAUAACAAGCAAAUUUGUGAGGCAUUUGGUAUUUUU
RNAcentral lists this small nuclear RNA (96 nucleotides) under Microtus ochrogaster (prairie vole). Lineage: Eukaryota; Metazoa; Chordata; Mammalia; Rodentia; Cricetidae. The record is from RNAcentral.